GUCCACGCCGUAAACUAUGGAUGCUAGCUGUUAUGCGUAUCGACCCGCGUAGUAGCGAAGCUAACGCGUUAAGCAUCCCGCCUGUGGAGUACGGUCGCAAGACUAAAACAUAAAGGAAUUGACGGGGACCCGCACAAGCGGUGGAGCGUGUUGUUUAAUUCGAGGCUAAGCGAAGAACCUUACCCAGGCUUGACAUCCUUGGAAAUUCUGCGAAAGCAGAAUGUGCCUUUUGGAGCCAAGUGACAGGUGUUGCAUGGCCGUCGU
RNAcentral lists this ribosomal RNA (264 nucleotides) under uncultured bacterium. Its description in RNAcentral is "partial 16S ribosomal RNA". It matches the Rfam family "Bacterial small subunit ribosomal RNA", at positions 793 to 1055 of the family's 1533-position model. The record is from RNAcentral.